GCGGGGCCAGGGUCUCGGUCCUCUCGCUUGCGGGAUGGCACAAUUGGCUCAGUCCCAGAGUCUUGGCGCGGUUGAGCUCCUCCCGGGCGACAGAGCCUCUCUACUUUUCACGUCGUGCCACCGCAAGAUAGCCAGUUCCUCCCUAUGGCGACCGCCUGGCUCUGCUAGACAAGCUGACUGCGAUGCUCCUGCUCUUCCACCUUGGAAAGAUUCAUGCAGAAGUCACAUGGAGAAGGGCCCCAGGCACAUGAACCCGGUGAGCCUUUCCUAAUGGAAGUGUCCUUCAAUAAGGCUGCUUGGGAAGGGUUAGAAGGUGUGGCCUUGUUGGAUGAUGUGUGUCACUGGGGGGCUGGGCUCUGAAGUUCCAAAAGCCCAUGCCAGGUCCAGUCUCAUCUCCGUCUGCCUGCCUGCCACCAUACUUCCUGCCAUGAUGAUAAUGGACUCGCCCUCUGAAACUGUAAUUAAGCUCCAAUUAAAUGCUUUCUUCUGUAAGUUGCCAUGGUCAUAAUGUUUCUUCACAGCAUAGAACAGUAACUAAGACAGGGACAUUCUCAUUCAAACCACCACACAGAUGGGUUAAUUAAUGCCUCUGCCACCUGGGUUCUUCUCUCCUGACACUGGAUUAGUUUCCAGGAGAGCAGGUUAUUAUAUAGUAAAUUCAGUUUCCUUGAGUUCCUCUUGCUUCUCUCUGCAUAUACUCACUACUUGCCUGCUUCUUUCCACUGUGGGUUGAAACACCACAAGGUUCUCACUAUAUCAUAGUCUUGGGCAUCCCCAGAUGCCAAAAAUCAACCUUUUCCUUAUACUUUUCCUAUUUCAAAUAUUGUUAGUAGCAACAGAAAAUGGACUAAGACAAUUUCUCUAAAACUGGAGCCUG
RNAcentral lists this long non-coding RNA (877 nucleotides) under Cricetulus griseus (Chinese hamster). RNAcentral describes it as "lncRNA (ENSCGRG00015033227.1)". Lineage: Eukaryota; Metazoa; Chordata; Mammalia; Rodentia; Cricetidae. The record is from RNAcentral.